This is a non-coding RNA of Danionella cerebrum, 70 nucleotides long. The record is from the annotation of a GenBank genome assembly. NCBI's taxonomy places the organism in Eukaryota, Metazoa, Chordata, Actinopteri, Cypriniformes, Danionidae.
GCAGUCGUGGCCUAGUAUUUAGGGUGAUUGACUGGAGAUCAAAACGUCGCCGGUUCGAGCCCCGGCUCCA